UCCCUGAUGGCUUAGAUGGUGAAGUCUCUGCCUGCAAUGCAGGAGAUCCAGGUUCAAUCCCUAGGUGGGGAA
RNAcentral lists this transfer RNA (72 nucleotides) under Capra hircus (goat). It matches the Rfam family "tRNA". Rfam says of the family: Transfer RNA (tRNA) molecules are approximately 80 nucleotides in length. Their secondary structure includes four short double-helical elements and three loops (D, anti-codon, and T loops). The record is from Rfam by way of RNAcentral. Lineage: Eukaryota; Metazoa; Chordata; Mammalia; Artiodactyla; Bovidae. RNAcentral also lists the same sequence under 1 other name.